CCAGGUUCCUUUUCUCACUCCCACCCACCAACACACUCCCGUCCCCCUCCUUCCCGGUUGCUCGGCGCGUGGACUGUCAGAAAGAUCACUUUAACUGCUGUUCCUGAUCCCUUUCCUUACAACGUUUAUCCCGUCUGCAGGAAUCGCGAUUUAAUCAGAACAUGCCUCCCAAAAAAGGAGAUUGUGAACCCAAGUUACCACCCAUUAUAGGACGAUUUGGAACCUCUUUGAAGAUUGGCAUUGUUGGCUUGCCAAAUGUAGGGAAAUCUACAUUUUUUAACGUUCUUACAAAAAGUCAGGCAGCUGCAGAAAACUUUCCCUUCUGUACCAUUGAUCCCAAUGAAAGCAGAGUGCCAGUUCCAGAUGAGCGAUUUGACUUCCUCUGCAAGUACCACAAGCCUGCC
Molecule: long non-coding RNA, 404 nt
Organism: Rhincodon typus (whale shark)
Lineage: Eukaryota; Metazoa; Chordata; Chondrichthyes; Orectolobiformes; Rhincodontidae
Exons: 3
Source: RefSeq, a predicted model, not a curated record